RNAcentral lists this small RNA (49 nucleotides) under Arabidopsis thaliana (thale cress). RNAcentral describes it as "ATSL099180". Lineage: Eukaryota; Viridiplantae; Streptophyta; Magnoliopsida; Brassicales; Brassicaceae. The record is from RNAcentral.
GUAAAAUUUAUUUAUGGGUCCGCUACUGCUCGUUCUUGCCUAUAAAUGU